RNAcentral lists this unclassified non-coding RNA (614 nucleotides) under uncultured fungus. Its description in RNAcentral is "partial miscellaneous RNA". The stretch from base 255 to 408 matches the Rfam family "5.8S ribosomal RNA". The record is from RNAcentral. Lineage: Eukaryota; Fungi.
CUUGGUCAUUUAGAGGAAGUAAAAGUCGUAACAAGGUUUCCGUAGUGAACCUGCGGAAGGAUCAUUAAUGUAACCGGACCUUACCGGUGCCGUAAGACGCAUCGGUUUGGAAAGGGAGAUAUCAUACACCCUGUGUUUAUUUACCUUUGUUGCUUUGGCGGGCCGUCCUUCCAGGCGUCGGCCCCGGCUGAUCGCGCCCGCCAGAGGACCCAAACUCUUUUAUCAGUGAUGUCUGAGUACUAUAUAAUAGUUAAAACUUUCAACAACGGAUCUCUUGGUUCUGGCAUCGAUGAAGAACGCAGCGAAAUGCGAUAAGUAAUGUGAAUUGCAGAAUUCAGUGAAUCAUCGAAUCUUUGAACGCACAUUGCGCCCGCUGGUAUUCCGGCGGGCAUGCCUGUUCGAGCGUCAUUAUGACCAAUCAAGCUCUGCUUGGCCUUGGGGCCGCUGUACCGGCGGCCCUUAAAAUCAGUGGCGGUGCCGUCUGGCUCUAAGCGUAGUAAUACUUCUCGCUACAGGGUCCAGUCGUCCACCCGCCAGAACCCCCAACUUUCUUAGGUUGACCUCGGAUCAGGUAGGGAUACCCGCUGAACUUAAGCAUAUCAAUAAGCGGAGGA